CUUAGAAGACUGGCAAUGUAGUUGAUUUUAUCCGUGUCAAUCGACCGUGUUGGAGAGAUAGCAAGAUACUUUAUGAUAAGCAUACACUAGAUGACAUGAAUUGAUUGCUUGUAUAUAUCCCAAAAAAAGUUCUAUUCGGCCGUUCGACAUAGUAGAGAAGUAGCAACUUGAGAACUUGAAGCUGACUAAUUUGUGCUAUGAUAAUGUAAGAAAGAUUUCACUACUCUAAUGGAUCGUGUUGGGAACAUAGCCAGUUGUUUAUACGUUAAUCACAUGCUAGAUGGCAUGAAUUAAUUGUUGAUAAUGACUAGAAUUAGCAGAGAGUUAUUUCCCUCGAUGAGGCAACACAAAAAGAAAAAAAUAGUAAUUGAGAACUUAAAUGGACUAGUUUUUGCUAUGAUAUGUAGAAAAUAUUACAUUUAUCUGUGUAAAAAAGUUGGCUUGGCAAUAGGCUUCAACUGCUUAGAGUGGAUUAUUGCAUAUGGGUGUCUUAUUGUGGGGUUAGGGUUUACUCUACCUUCUGUCCUCAAGGUUUAGUUUUGCUUAUUUAAGAUGGGCGAAAAUUAUAACUGAUGUUUAGUCACCAAGGAAGUUGAUUGACUCAUGUUAGCGAACAAUCUCCAAUGUGUUGUACGUGAAUAAAAUUACCAUGGUAUUUAUGAUUUAUUAUUUAAACAUGCAUGUGCAUAUCUUUUUUUCGGUAAAUAAGUUUUUUUUUUUUUUUUUUUUUAAGAAGGAAGAUAUGUACAUACAAACCAGCAACCUUACAUGAUAAUCAGAGAUCAAAUGAAAAUGUAAACAACAUUCUACCCAUCCCUACUCAAUCCCAGAACUACAUCAGACAUACUACUACUGCUACCUUGCUACAUUUCUAUGGAUAAGAGUCCAUAUCCUUCAACACCCUAGCAGUUCUUGCAUUGUUGAUUCCUCUACAAUGGACAUCCCUUACAAUUGCCCUGCUCAGCACCUCAAUUCCCUUUUGUUUGUUUUGAAAGAGGCGUGCCAUUCCUUUCUUGCCAAACUGCAUACACACAACAGGCCAGCACCAUUCCAAACACCUGGGCUUUUCAGAUCUCCCUGUUGCAUUCCUUGUAGCCCACUCAAGCUCCUUAGACCACUGCAGAGGUGCUCUUUGGAUCUGCUACCACUUUAACAUUUUCCUCUAUAAGUUUCUGAAAAUCUGCACUGAAAGAAUAGGUGAUCUCUAGUCUCCUCAGCAUCAUCACACAGUGGGCAAGUAGUGAUAUUAGUGAUCUUCCAUUUUGCAAGUCUGUCUCUAGUAUAGAGUCGUUACAGAGCUACCAGAGUCAAGUUAAAUAUCCACUUGGGGCACCCAACAUUGUUACAAACAAGCCUUCUCCAGCUGACCUUAGGCAGGCUAUCCUUUAUGGCAUUGUAUAUGGACUUGAUUUUGAACUCCGGAAGCUGCUGAAAUUCCAUCUGUGUGUAGCCAGCUUUAGCCACUGUCUCCUUAGCCUUGAGAAUCUUCUUGAUUAUCCAAGCAACCUAGUCGGGGUUAGCUUCCUCAAUGGAUUGAUUUUUAAUGUAGUAAGUGUGAAAAAUGUAUUAAGUCUGAAUCCAUUGGAUCCAAAACCUAUCCUUUUCUUGCAAAGAUUCCAAUAAUUUUUACAUAUGACUUCUUGUUCCAUUUCAGUAUGUCUGUAACAUUAAACCCACCAGCACACUUACAUAUGGCUGCAUUUGCGUAUCUAAUAUAACACAAGGUGGGAUAAAAGGACUCUAACACAAAAGUCGUAAUGCACAAUAAAAUCUAAAUGUGUGCAAUGUAGAUCAUUGAACGAUUUGUGAUAGGGUGUGUUUUACCAUAGUGAUGACUGAAGGGAGAAUUUAUUUCUGAAGCUGUUUUAAAAUUGACUUUUUCUUCUAUUUGGUUCAGAAGACAGAGAUUUAAGAAUUUAAUGGCCAUAGCACUUUUUUUUUUCGAAACUGGUAACAUUUGUAUUGAAUUCAGUACUUGGGUUGUCCUGGAGAAACCAUAUUUACAAAAAAGGAAGAAAGAAAGAAAAAAACUUCCAAAACUGAGCCUACGAUACUAGAUAAAACCUAAAGCAUCUAGAAUUGUCUCUGUCUCAUUAGGGAAAACUUUGUACACCAAAAGCAGAACAACAAAACACAGUUAAGCUUAAUCUUCUAAACGUUGCUACUCCUAUUUUCAAAACAUUUGUCAUUUCUUUCCUUCCAUAUAGUCCACCAAAUACAAGCAGGAAUGAUCCUCCAUCUAUCUCUAUUUUUAGAACCAAAUCCAGCUUCCUCCCAACUGAAAAGAGUGUCACCAAUCUUACUAGGCAUUGUCCAUGAGAUGCCUCUGAGAUUGAUAAAAAUUUGCCACAGUUGGUUAGUUACUUUGCAGUAUAGGAAAAGGUGUCUAACUGUCUCAGUAUCCCUACCACAUAAGAAACACCUAUUGCAUAAGGGGAUUCCCUUCUUUGCUAGAUGGUCAAGAGUUAGAACAUCCUCAUUAGUUAGGAGCCAAGUGAAACAUGCCACUUUAUAUGGCACUUUAACUCUCCAAAUAUGUUUCCAAGGCCAGUUGGUAAUCUGAGGUUCAACUUGAUUUGGCUUGUUUUAGCCUUCCUUCACCUUAUAUAUACCUUUGGUAUUCUCAUUCCACCAUAAACAGUCCUCUCCACUCUGUACUCCAUGGAAACUUUCUAGAUGCUUGUACAAUUCAACCACUCUCGGAUCUCCUAAUCAUUCAGAUGUCUUCUAAGUACCAAAUCUCAUCCUUGUUGUGUCCACAUUUCAGCUACUGUCUUGUGUUAGCGCCGGGACAGAGCAUAAAUAUUAGAAAAAGUGCCUUGUACGCUGUCAGAAUCCAUCCACUUGUCUUUCCAGAAACGAGUCUUUUUUCCAUUGUGGACCUUGAUAUUAGACUGACUUUUGAGGAAUGUCCAGAAGAACCUGAUGGUUCUCCAAAGGCUAACACCAUAAGGAGUAGUGACUUCUAUAGUUACCCAAUUGUCCAUCUCCCCAUAUUUGGUUUUGCCUAUGUACAAAAGGGAAGAGCUUAGGUAUAUAUAAAUAUCAAAGAAACUGCAUAAUUAUAAAGUGUGUGCUCCUAUUUAAGUUGAAUUUAGAUAAGUUCCUUGAGUUGAGAUUCAGUUUUCUAUGCAAGUGUUUAGAGUAAUGUAAAACACAUGUUGUCUUUACUAUGUUGUUAUACCAAAUCUGAAUAUGCCGGCUUCAGAGUUUGGAUUUUGCGAGCAUUUCACUUAAAUGAAGGGAUUGGGCAUAUGGAUAAAUGCAAGCAGUUUGUAGUCUAUUUGUUCAAUCUUUCUGUCUUAGAGCAAACGCCCAUUCAAGAAAUGACUAAAAUGAUUCUGGUGAACAUUAGCCAUUUCUAGUUCUCCGUCUCUGCUCAUUUCUACGGUGCUCUUGUUCUAGAUUCACCCCUCGGAUUGAAGGGCCAAAAGCUGAUCAGUGCAUGGAGAGUGGAGAACCUUAGAGCCCAAAGGGAUAGGAAGCUGAAAGGUAUGGUAGGGACAAGAUCAUGAGGAUCUGGCAAGCUAAAAGAAAAGGAGCUUUUUUUUUCUCGGAAGAAUGUCUAACUUUUCCCAGUUUUUCUUACCAAAGAUCAUGAAUGACUUGUGUUAUGGAAUCCAAAUAAGAAAAGAUUAUCUUGUUCAUCAUUUAUACUUUAAAAUAUUAUGGGCAAAUGGGCAACAGAAAG
Lycium ferocissimum is the source of this 3691-nucleotide long non-coding RNA. RefSeq lists it as uncharacterized. NCBI's taxonomy places the organism in Eukaryota, Viridiplantae, Streptophyta, Magnoliopsida, Solanales, Solanaceae. The record is from RefSeq and is a predicted model, not a curated record. The transcript is spliced from 2 exons.